Molecule: long non-coding RNA, 979 nt
Filed under: Gossypium barbadense (sea-island cotton)
Lineage: Eukaryota; Viridiplantae; Streptophyta; Magnoliopsida; Malvales; Malvaceae
Description: long non-coding RNA (GBAR_LNC005399)
Source: RNAcentral
UUUGAACAUGUAAAAGUUCAGCUUUAAUUUUAACUAAGUUAGAGUUCAGGUAUUUUGUUUAGCAAUUUGUUGCUGAAGCAGUUACACACUAACACUGUAGUGUAAGCUUUUGGUGAUCAAUGAUUUCCAGAACUAGAAAAUGUUCUCUCUUUCUCAAACUUUCUAUCUUCUUUCUCUAUUAAUCCUUUGAAUCUUGAAGAGAAUUUCAACUUUCUAACAGGUAGGGAAGUGUUGGCAACCUUGACAAAGAAACAAUAGAACUCAUCUCUCUUUCUCAAACUUUCUAUCUUCUUUCUCUAUUAAUCCUUUGAAUCUUAAGAGAAUUUCAACUUUCUAACAGGUAGGGAAGUGUUGGCAACCUUGACAAAGAAACAAUAGAACUCUAGAAGCACAUAAUAUUUACAUAAAGAAUUUAUGAUUGGACAGUUAGAUAUAGGUUCAUUUUCCUGAAAAAGAAAAUUCGGUUUCUUGAACGAGAACAUUUGUCCACUCCAGCUUCAAUAAUAAAGCUUUAAUUAAAUUCUUCCCCAUUUCAGUAGUUCAGCAGUUCAGGAACUCAAAGUCAAGCAACAUGUGAGCCACUACUAAGUUCAUCUCUUGGCAACUAACAACAAAUUCUCAAAAGAGAAUAAUACAAGCAAUUUAUCAAACCUAACCACAAACAUAAAUUUGACAAAGGAAAAGCAAAUUAUGGAUGAUAACAACAUAGAACAGAGCCAGCAUAAUUGUCUGGAGGAUGGGAAGACAUGGCUAGUAACACUAAUCCCCAUGACUACCAUUAUAUUACAGUCAAUCAGAUGCUGUGUAGGUUCUCAUUUUGCUCUUCUUUUUUUUCCUGUGUAAUCUUAACUUCAAUAAGAAAAUUACAAUUAGUAGAAUUAUAUCAUAGGGUAUUCACUACAAGCACUAUAAAGUUUAACAUUACCUAGAUCUCUACUGCCUUAACAUGUGUGAAACUCUUCAAAGUAAUUUAGAAAUU